AUUGAACGCUGGCGGCAUGCUUUACACAUGCAAGUCGAACGGUAACAGGCCUUCGGGUGCUGACGAGUGGCGAACGGGUGAGUAAUGCAUCGGAACGUGCCCAAUCGUGGGGGAUAACGUAGCGAAAGUUACGCUAAUACCGCAUAAGCCCUGAGGGGGAAAGUGGGGGACCGCAAGGCCUCACGCGAAUGGAGCGGCCGAUGUCAGAUUAGCUAGUUGGCGGGGUAAUGGCCCACCAAGGCAACGAUGGGUAGCGGGUGUGAGAGCACGAUCCGCCUCACUGGGACUGAGACACUGCCCAGACACCUACGGGUGGCUGCAGUCGAGAAUCUUCGGCAAUGGGGGGAAACCCUGACCGAGCGACGCCGCGUGCGAGAUGAAGGCCCUCGGGUUGUAAACCGCUGUCGUAAGGGAACAAAUCCAUAGGGGUACUCCUCUAUGGUUGAGUGAUCUUAGGAGAAGGACGGGCUAAGUUCGUGCCAGCAGCCGCGGUAAUG
Molecule: ribosomal RNA, 497 nt
Filed under: uncultured bacterium
Lineage: Bacteria
Description: bacterial SSU rRNA
Rfam family: Bacterial small subunit ribosomal RNA
Source: RNAcentral